This 969-nucleotide long non-coding RNA is filed under the name Marmota monax (woodchuck). The record is from RNAcentral. Lineage: Eukaryota; Metazoa; Chordata; Mammalia; Rodentia; Sciuridae.
AAAAUUGAAGAGAAUGAAAGAAAGGACCAAAAAAGUUUUACAAGCUGCAUAGAUGAUGGAUGAUAGGGGAUUAGCAAACCAAGAAAAUGGGGCCCUGGUGUUUUGCACUACAGAAUUCUGUCCCCCUGUCUCCCCCACCAAAAUCAGUAAUUGAUUACACCAGAUUUCCCUGGAACAGAGAGCGAAAGGGUAUAGAUUAAAUAGGAAAGACAUUAACUAUCUGCUUAAGAAACUGGAAAGUGUCUAUAUAUCCUACUCUAUCCUGGCAAAAGACUGAAGAUUUGUUGUAGAGAGGGCAAAACAGAGGGUUUGGAGGAGAUACCAGGCACUGUUGAUGUGAUAUACUGGGCUGGGAAUGUAGCUCAGUGAUAAUGCUUAUGCCUAAAGCCCUGGGGUCAAUCCCCAGCACAGAAAAGAAAGAGAUUGUAACUGCCAUAGAGAGAUCAAAAUGAAAACGAUUUAAGCCUCCUAUUGAGAUACAUCAGGUGCCACCCGUGUCACUUCCUUAGUGCCAUUCAUGUCACUCCCCCAUGAGUGACAUGAAUGGGAUAGAGUCCAGAGGCACUUUACCUAGGGAUAGAGUCCAGAGACACUUUACCGCUUUGCCACUGCGCCACAUCCCCAGCCCUCUUUAUUUUGAGACAAGGCUCUAAGUUGCCUAGAGCCUUGCUAAAUUGCUGAGUCUGUUCUUGAACUUGUCUCCAGACUCAGCCUCCCAAGUCUCUGGGAUUACAGGCGUGCCUAUUGUUUUUCCUUCUCCUCCUUCUCCUUCUCCUUCUCUUCUUCUUUUUGGUACCAGGGAUUGAACCCAAGGGCACUUAACCACUGAGUCACAUCCCCAGCCCAUCUUUUAUUUUGACUUGGGGUCUCUAAGUUGUUUAGGGCCUCACUAAGUUGCUAAGGCUGGCUUUGAACUUGCAAUCCUCUUGCCUCAGCCUCCCAAACUGCUGGGAUGACAGGCGUGUGCCC